RNA transcript from Oncorhynchus tshawytscha (Chinook salmon), 5135 nucleotides. It is a transcript of the gene named unc-51 like autophagy activating kinase 1, with no coding region annotated. The transcript is spliced from 27 exons. Lineage: Eukaryota; Metazoa; Chordata; Actinopteri; Salmoniformes; Salmonidae. The record is from RefSeq and is a predicted model, not a curated record.
CUCUAUAGUGUAGGAGGUGGUAUAGUAUUUACGUGGUUACAUGCAGUAGAGUAGGCAACAACAGAACACCGAUGUGACACCUCUCUUUAAAAUAAAGCUUUAAGUUCGUGCGCCUGCGCAACAUUUCGGGGCUUGGAGAGUAACUGAAGGCUUUUUGGAGACCACCAUUGAUACGAGGAUUGCUCUGCAAAGAAAAAAUAACUAUUACUCAAGCCCAUUGAAAUGAUUACGAGAUGCCGCUUGCCUAAUUAUCGUGAACUUGCGUUGGAACAAAUUACAACACAUUAUUGAACGGGUUGCAAUGGAGCCAACGAUUUCCUCCGUAUACAAACAAAACCGAGGCUUCUGUUUUUAAGGUGGAUAUUUAAGCUAGCAGCUACCUAGCCAGUCUACAUUGGAGUUAGUCUCUUUGUAAACACUGCGUCAGUUGUGCUAGCUAGCUAACUACCAUAACAAAGAAACAUGGGACUCGUAUAUUGUUGAAAGGAGGCAGACUCCUUUCCAUACGUUAGCUAAACAUGCGAGAAGAAAAUCGUUCUUUCUCAGGAAGGCAGCCAAUGGCAAUCGAAAGACGAGGUGAACUUUCCAGCUGUGCUGACUUCACCGAGGAGGAAGGGACAUCCGAGAGAGAUCUGCAACCCUGCAACGCUUUUCAUUUUACCUCAAAAUAAAACCCUGAGGUUCUGGAGCGAUGGAAACCGUGGGGAAAUUCGAGUUUAGCAGGAAGGAUUUGAUAGGACACGGUGCAUUUGCGGUGGUGUUCAAAGGCAGGAAUAGAGAGAAACACGACUGGGAGGUGGCUGUGAAAUGCAUAAACAAGAAGAACUUGGCAAAGUCUCAGACCCUUUUGGGGAAAGAGAUCAAAAUUCUCAAGGAACUAAAACAUGAAAACAUUGUUGCAUUACAUGACUUUCAGGAAACAGCCAGUUCUGUGUACCUGGUCAUGGAGUACUGCAAUGGUGGGGACCUGGCGGACUAUCUACACUCCAAGGGCACCCUGAGUGAGGACACUAUCCGAGUGUUCCUGCAGCAGAUAGCCGGGGCCAUGAGGGUGCUGCAGGCCAAGGGGAUCAUUCACAGAGACCUCAAACCACAGAACAUUCUGCUCUCCUACCCCGCAGGACGCAAGUCCCACUCUACCAACACCUGCAUCAAGAUAGCUGACUUUGGGUUUGCACGGUACCUUCAGAACAACAUGAUGGCUGCUACUCUGUGUGGGUCCCCUAUGUACAUGGCACCUGAAGUCAUCAUGUCUCAGAACUAUGAUGCCAAGGCUGACCUGUGGAGCAUCGGUACCAUUUUGUUCCAGUGUCUGACAGGGAAAGCCCCGUUUCAGGCUAGCAGUCCCCAGGACCUCCGGCUAUUUUAUGAGAAAAACAAGAACCUCAGCCCCAAUAUCCCCAGAGAGACCUCCUGUCCCCUGAGGCUUCUGCUGCUGGGUCUUCUGCAGCGAAACCACAAGGACCGCAUGGACUUUGAGGAGUUCUUCCGUCACCCCUUCCUGGAGGCGAGCUCGUCCAUGAAGAAAACAACUCCUGCUGUGACCAUGACGUGCUUUCCCAGCUCUGCUUCAGCCAGCUCCUGUAGCAGCUCUUCCACCUCACACCUGGCCUCCCCACCGCAGUCCCUGGCUGAGGUCCAGCAGGUCCGUACUAAAACACUCGCUUCUCCUACCCAGGAUUCCCCUGGCUUCCUCCUCAAGGACUCGUCUGGAGGGGGCUGCAGCAGUAAGAACUCCUCCUGUGACACAGAUGACUUUGUCAUGGUGCCCGCCCACUAUCCCACAGGUGAGCUCACCUGUGAGGGGCCUACUGGAAAGGUGUUCCACGACAGUCUGAUGAACAGCGGCUCUCUGUUAGCCUUUGGUGGCCUGGGCAGUCAGGGCAAGACCCCACCCCACUCCCCCUCCUACAGUGGCUCCCCCAAUCCUAUCAGUCGGCCUAACGAGUUCUCUGGCAGUAACUGUGGUAACUAUGGUCAGUCGGUGCCCAUUCCGGUUCCCACUCAGGUCCAAAACUACCAGCGUAUGGAGCAGAAGCUCCAUUCCCCCAGCCAGGACGGCUCCCCACGGCUGUCCACCCCAGUGCGUCGCUGUAGCAGCAAUAGUUCACUGGGAUUUGGAAGGACUGGCCCAUCUCUGCCUUACCCAGGAGGCUACGGGGCCUUGGCUGGCCUCCGCAGGCUGUCUGUAGGAGGAGCCAGACCCUUCCAGCUUUCACCUCAAGUGGGUACCAUCCCUGAGCUGCCAGGGCAGGUGCGCCCGCUGGGCACAGACACCAGUAGCGGGGGGUCGCAGGAUGGAGCUCUCCAGUUCCUCGACAUGCGGCCUCCCGCUCAGCAGCAAGGCCUGGUCACCCGGCUUCACAGCGCCCCAUGUCUCCUCGAGGCUGCUAGCAGGGGCGGCAGGCAAAAUAUCAGGAAGCAGCACUCUGACCCAGUGGUGGCCAACCACCAGGCAGGCAUGGUGACUAUGCGGCCCCUGCACUCCUCCCCCAGGCUGAGUGAACUCAUGCAGCGCAGCCCCCUCCCCACCAUUCUAGGAUCUCCCUCGAGAGCCAUCCCACCCUUUGAGUUUCCAAAACCUCCCAGCACCCCCAACCUGGUGACCUUCCUGGCCCAGCAGGGCCUGGUUCUGGCCCCGCCUGGCAGCAGGACUGCCUCAGACCACAGGGACCCAGGACAGCCGCCCACUGGGCAGCUUGGUCAAUACAGCCACAGGACCGCAGAGGACAACAAGAGCUUUGGCAGGUCUCAGAGUGCAAGUCGUUUGUCUGACAUGUUGCUGAUGGCUGCAUUUGGAGGCCCGCUGGGGGAGCGGGGGAGCAAUGAGAACCUCUGCUCUAACAGAGGAGCCAUAGACAUCACAGCACCCUCUGGUGAUGGUGCCAUGGCUGCAGGCUCAGCCAGCCCAGCCCAGGUGGUGUUCACUGUGGGCUCCCCACCCAACAGCAGCACCCUACCACACACCUCAAGGACCAGGCAGUACUCAGCAGGCUCCUCCAGCUCUAUCAGCCCAGUGGGGUCCUUUACCAGCCGAUAUCAGACAGGCACCUAUCUGGAAGGCUUUGAGGAUCCCUCCAGUCCACGCUACAGCUUCACGGACCCCAUCACGGCCAACAUGGGGGGACCGGUCACCUUCCUGGCCCCUGAGCUGCCAGAGGAGACACUGAUGGCGCAGGAGCACACAGAGACCCUGAGGAGCCUUCACUUCACCCUGGACUUUGCCUGCUGUCUGAUGGAGGUGGCGGGAGUCAGGGGGACCGGGGCUGGGGCUGUGGCGGAGCAAGGGGACACCUCCCCACCCUCCCUCCUGCAGCAGCAGAGCCUGGUGGCAGACCAGAUCAGCUCCCUCAGCCGGGAGUGGAGCUAUGCGGAGCAGCUGGUGUUGUACAUGAAGACUGCAGAGCUCCUGUCGUCUGCCUUACACACAGCCAUGGAGUGCAUCAAACAGGGCAAACUGUACCCCUCUGCUACUGUCAAACAAGUGGUGAAGAGACUGAACAAGCUUUUCAAGUCCAGCGUGUCGUCCUGCCUCUCCCUCAACGCCCGGCUGGAGCGCUUCUUCUCUAGGAAGCACCGUCUCAUGGACCACAUUAACACUAUCACCGCCGAGAGGCUGCUGUUCAGCCACACCGUUCAGAUGGUGAGGGAGAUACUGUGUUCAGCUCAACACCGUUCAGAUGGUGCAGGCUGCUGCUCUGGAUGAGAUGUUCCACCAGGGAGAGGCGUCGGUGCAGCGCUACCACAAGGCCCUGCUGCUGAUGGAGGGCCUAUCCCUGCUCCUCACCGAGCACGAAGACAUCCUCAUCGUUACCAAAUGUAAGGAGUGCAUCGAGCGCCGCCUCACAGCACUACAGUCAGGGCUCUGCAUCUGAGGACUCAGCACCCGUGGAUGCUGCUAAACUAUGAUGUCAGUCAUUCUGGACAGACACCACCAUGCCCAUUCAAUCUGACCCCCUACCUACCAACUCAGUAUCCUCCCUCCACCCUCUAGUUUCCAUGGAGAUACCAGCCAGUGGGGGGGGGUGUUAUGAAGGGCCUGGACUGGGUAUGCUUGGGACUGGUGACGCUGGUCUCUCAUACUCACGGUGGAGCCUGUGACCGCCUGGUUGAUGUUGGAGAUGAAGGGCUUGUGAGAAGGCCACUACUCACUCCUCCGUGUGUCAGACAGGACCCCAAUACACGGACUGAGUGUGUUAGCUAUUCAUUUCUGUGCAGUGUCCCAUACACACAGCCACUUACCGUCAGUAACGCUGCCCUGAGCAAUCACAGCCAAGCGGUCUGCCGGAGGAUUCUACUGCAGUCACAGACACGCUCCAUUUGAUUCUGUCAAUAAUUCAGCGCUAAGCAAUCACAAAUAGACCCUCACUCCUCUUAAGACAUGAGGUAUCACUCUAUAAGAAGCCACUCUGUGUAAAAAAUAUUAAUCUCAACCCCUACGUGGGGCAUUGUGCUAUUUUUAGUUUGGCUUGUAAUGGUGAUUUGUGGACAAUAGUAUAGCGUGAUAUUACAGCGAGUGGGCUUAACUUGUCUGUUUGCCUCUUUUUGGUUUCUUUGAUGGUUUACAUUGAUUUAGAUUUUAUUUGUCGUUUUCAAGGAAACCAGAAGAGUUUAAGAGCGUUAACACAAUUGUAUGGCCUGUCACAGCCCACAGGCCUGUGUGUGGAGAAAAAAAUGUUGUGUGUUAUUGACCCAGCUUAAUGUACAUUCCUGUGAUAGAACCAUAUAAAGGUGCUGUUACAGAAGUAUUGUACUUUAUUCAUCCCUGUCUGUGACAAUUUGUUGAUGCUAAGUUUGCCGUAUUAAGAAUGACAAUGUUGCCCUUUUGGACCCAACAGAUAGAUUUUUUUUGACCAUAAACAGGAGAAUGUAGAGAGGAUUGCUGUACGUGCCACUUCUGGGCCUUGACAGAAAAUGGACCUCACUGCGCAUUUCCUUUUGACCAAAGUGUUUGAUAUGGCUGCCAUGGUGGAAGAACAGCUGGAACUGCAUAAACCCCAUUGAGCUUUUUAGUCUGAGUGCUUGAGAUGGAUCAUCUUAUUAAUAUUUCCUGAAGUUUGUAGCAAAUAUUGUUAUUUUAUCCAGUAUAGGCCAGGAAUAUUGCCCGAAUUGAAAAAUAAACCAAUUUGCACUGA